RNAcentral lists this long non-coding RNA (2856 nucleotides) under Daucus carota (carrot). RNAcentral describes it as "long non-coding RNA (DCAR_LNC003017)". Lineage: Eukaryota; Viridiplantae; Streptophyta; Magnoliopsida; Apiales; Apiaceae. The record is from RNAcentral.
UUGAAGGAUGAUAUUUCUAUUGUAAAAGAUUUGCCUGAAGAUUUCUCUUGGAGCACGAGAGAGUAUUAUGCCAUAGCUAUUCGAGCUACUAGAGUCAAAACGGCACCUGUUCAUGCUUCAGCUAACUGGUACUUGGAAAAUGUGUCACCUAUCCUAGAGAGGUUGGUAUUGGGCUUCAUUUCUAGACAUCAUUGAAGCACAAUAGUUAUUUAGUAAACUAUUGUUUACAUAUGCUUGAUUAUAGAAGCGAUGCAUGAAAGGGUCUGUCUUUAGUCAACAUGUAAAUGGCCUGUAAGCUGUUGCAGAUAUCGUAAGAAGAAAUAGGUACAUUGGCAUGCUGUGGAUCCAAAUCUUCUGAAAAAGUCAAUACUUUCACUAUCUAUAUUGUCAAUAAUUACCUGUGAAAUUUUAAAUGCACUCAUGAGCUAAGAUUUUCACAUGGCAUUGGCUAACACAGAGGUAUUGGUUGGCUGGUCGUUACAGGACUAGACUUCGGAGCUAAUCUGUUGGUUUCAUAAUAUUAUUUGUAUUGAGGAGGUCUAGAGUUUUUCUAUAUUAUCGUAUACUAGUAGCAGUAAAUGUCAUGCUUUGUAAACAAUUUUCGUAUAUAUAUUAAGCAACAGUAGGAACACAGAAUGCAUUCUGCAUACUUCUAACAGUUAUUACAGCUUAUUUGCAGCAUAGAUCGUGAAAUAAUUAAAUUUAAUGAUCUGCAGAGAGGGUUCUAAAAUAUUACUUAGUCAAUUAGAUAUUUUCCCAUAUUCAUUUUCAUUUGAGCAUCCACACAACUGUGUAGAUUAUUAAUUUGCUCAUUAUUCAGUUAUGGAAUAGCUGCAAUAGCUCCAUUUUCACAUCGAUUGGAUUUUGACAACAUGCCUGAGGAUAUCCAGCGUCUACGCUGCAAGGUCAACUUUCAAGCACUAAGUUUUGUACCUCAUAUAAGAUCUCUUGGAGAUGCUAUUGUUAGCCGCCUCAGGUAUCCAUCUGGGCAAAAAGAAGUUAGUAGCGAGUUCCUUACAGAGGUUACCGAAACACAAGGACGGCCAGAAGCCGGGAAAUUCGUUGUUUUACAUCUUCGGUUUGAUAAGGUAGGCCAAUUAUUCUAUAACAGUUCGAAGAUCUUUCCUCAAAUCUUCCUUCGAAGAGCUUGACUAUUUAUGUAGUGGGUAAAUAUUACACACCUAAACAAAAAAACGGUGUUUAAUUGGGUUUUUGUUUUCCAAAUUCAGUUGCAUAGAACUCUUUAAAUUCCUACCAGAUAGAAACUGUCCGCUUUUAGGUUUUGUGCUUCUGAGUGGAAUUGUCAACUGGUAUACACUUAUUAGACAGAUUUAUAGUCCGGUUAUUUUUUUUUUUUUCUGAAGGGACCAGUCAAAAUUUAGCAUUUAAUUACACUCAUUCUUGACCUUUAAUGUAUGUGUAUUUGAUUUAAAAUAUAUAAGCUUGCUCAUUGUUAAUGGUGUGUCCAAUCACUUAGUAUCUGCAACUUGCUACUCGUUCAAGUAAAGUGUCUUUCUCCUGCAUAAUAUAUUUAAGAUUCCGAAUAUUUAAAUGCUUGCCUACACUAAUUUUCACUUUUCAGGAUAUGGCUGCUCACUCAGCCUGCGAUUUUGGUGGAGGUAAAGCUGAGAAGUUGGCACUGGCCAAGUACAGACAAGUGAUUUGGCAGGGAAGGGUCCUGAACUCCCAGUUCACGGAUGAGGAGUUGAGGAACCAGGGCCGUUGCCCAUUGACUCCAGAAGAAAUCGGGCUGCUUCUAGCUGCUUUGGGCUUUGACAACAGUACUCGUCUGUAUCUUGCCUCCCACAAGGUUCAUACUAUUUUUUUUAUAAUAUGCUAGUAAAUUAAUGUGCACUGAUGCCUUGGCAAAAAAAAAAAAGUGCACUGCAUGCUUCUUUCCUGUAUACUAAAACUUGAUGAUUGGACACCCUUGUUUUCUAGGUGUAUGGUGGUGAAGCUAGAAUCUCCACAUUAAGAGAAUUAUUCCCAUUGAUGGAAGACAAAAAGAGUCUUGCGUCUUCAGAAGAAAGGGCGAAUAUUAAAGGAAAGGCUUCUUUAAUGUCUGCUGUUGAUUACUACGUCAGCAUGCACAGUGACAUCUUUGUUUCAGCUUCACCAGGAAAUAUGCACAAUGCUAUGGUAAGCACUUUUAACAAGACAUGGUAGGAUAUUCCAGGACAGCAUCUUAACGCAUACAUGGAUUUGAUCCUUUGGUUAAGCUUUUUCCUAAUGAUUUUCAUGGUUUUCGCUGAAUUUGCCAAAUAAUUUAUAUAGGUAAUUCUGCCGUUUCUCUUUUGAUAUAGUUUGCAUUUUACUUUUUUUCAUCUGCACGGGCACAGAAAAUGUUUGAACAUGCUUAGCUAAAGAACCACUUCAUCAUUCAUAAUCGGUCUGAUUCUAUAUUAUGGCUAUUUACCACUCAUUAAUAUAUAUAAGCUCAAAGGUUGAUAAAUAUAUCUUCUCGAUAUAACAUUGCAGGCCUUUCCUCUAAUUUUUAUAUCAUUUUGUUUAUCUAUAACAGGUAGGACAACGAACUUACCAGAAUCUUAAAACAAUCAGACCUAACAUGGGGCUAUUGGGGCAACUAUUCCUUAACAAGAGCAUGGAUUGGACAAAUUUCCAAGAAGCUGUGGUCGAAGGGCACAUAAACAGGCAAGGGCAACUCAGAACACGGAACCUGAAACAGUCAAUAUAUACAUACCCUGCACCAGAUUGCAUGUGCCAGGCUUAAGGUGUCGGAUUACAAAGAUGAAGUCACUAUUGUUUAUUAUAUCCCAGAAAUUAGUGGUUAAAGCAUGGUAUUUAUCAUAUAGUUGUCUAGGCUGCCAUCACUAUUCAUGGUUAAAGGUUAAAAUA